This 13787-nucleotide long non-coding RNA is filed under the name Zea mays. RNAcentral describes it as "long non-coding RNA (ZMAY_LNC004578)". Lineage: Eukaryota; Viridiplantae; Streptophyta; Magnoliopsida; Poales; Poaceae. The record is from RNAcentral.
UUGCUUUCCUAGAAACUUACCAGGUUCUAGCACCAGGAAGCUUGCUUCCACCAGAUCUGUUGCUACUCACAAGAACGUGGAGAAGGUGCAACAGCAGAUGAUCGUGUGAUCGGAUUUGGCGGCAACUGUGGCUGAACAAGCAGCCACUAAUCGGGUGGUUUUGAGUAAAAAAAUUGGAGGAGACAGAUCGCGUGGUGGCUCAAAUGCGCCUGGAACAAAUGGGCAAGGAGUUGGGAGAAUCAUCUGGUGCAUCGCAGGAGUUGGGUGGACAACAACAACAGAUUCCUCAAAUUUUCAAAGCCGCUCAGGAGAAGGGUGAUCCAAUGCAUGGUGGUAAGGGAGGGAUGCAUGGUUUACAACGUGAACCUCGACCACAUGGGGAUCAUCAUCAUCAGGUAUUGCUGAAGCUGCCUUUCCCCAAGUUUUCCUAGGGUGAUCCUUUGGUAUGGUUGGACAAAUGUUUGGAGUAUUUUUUGGUGCAUGGUGUUCCUACUCCAAUGUGGGUUUCGGUGGCUUCGAUGAAUUUGGAGCAGAUUGCAGCCCAAUGCUGGCAGUUUCACAAACUGUGACAUGGUUUGGUGGUUGGCAAGAAUUCUCUCCUAUAGCGAUUUCUAAAUUUAAGGUUGAUGCUUAUCCUAGGGCCUUACAAAGAUUGAUGGAGUUAAGACAGACUAAGAGUUUGGAGCAAUAUGUUAAGGAGUUUGAUCAGGUUCGCUAUGGGGUAGUUGUUCACAAUUCACAGUUGGAUGAAUUGUUCGUUGUCACACAUUUUGUGUGUGGCCUUAAGUUUGACGUUUAGAGUGUGGUGCGAGUACAGAUGCCCACAACAGUUGAUCGGGUAAUAGUCUUGGCUCAAACUCAAUACGAGGUGUUGGAUCAGGAAAAAGGCAAAGGCCAUCGCCAGAUGUUCCCUAACAAACAGCCCAUGGGAAACAAUAAGGGUGAUGGGAGACAACCUCAAGGGGAGUGGACUUCUCCAAAGAACGAUAUGUUCAGGAGUUUAGAAGGCUCAAUGGUCUCUAUUAUGCCUAUGGGGAGAGGUUUGAGCCAGGUCAUAUUGCUAAAUGUACCAAGAGAGGGCUUGUGCAGUAGAAUGCAGUUAUUACUGAGAAUGUGUCGAUGGUCUUGACUGAUGAAAUCUUGCAACAACUUGAGCAAGAAGAUGAGCAACAAGCAGUGUGUUGUCAGGUAUCUGUUCAUGCUCUAUCAGGUAUUGUGGGUAAUAAAGUAUGAAGGUGAGAGCUAUUGUGCAAAAGUAGUAAUGGUGAUGUUGGUGGAUUCGGGGAGUCCUACGAGUUUCAUCAGUGAUAACAUGGUUCAACAGUUGGGAUAAUCUGUUCUGCCUUGUGAAUCUGUUAUUGUUAAGGUGGCCAAUUGAGAUUCUAUGGUCUACAAUACAAUGGUUAAACAGUUGGAGUGGUGGGCUAAUGGCCAAUUCUAUCAUACUGAUAUGAGAGUGCUCCCUAUUAGUGCUUUUGAUGUUGUACUUGGGUAUGAUUGGUUGCAGGAUCAUAGCCCUAUGGAGUAUGAUUGGAAGACUUAUGUGCUAAGAUUUGUGGAUGAAAAUGCGCAUGUAUGUCUGCAGGGUGAUGGAGUAGCAAAUUCUUAUACGGUACAUGAUGUUUCUGUUUCUCAGGUGCACAAAUGGGUGAGCGGGAAUGAUAUUUGGGAUUUUGUUGUGUUGGAGUUUCCUAAGGAGCAACAUGAGGAUAAUUAGAGUACAGAUAUUCAGAGUAUUUUGAUGUGGAGUUCCAGGAUAUUUUCACUACUCCAACUCAAUUACCUCCAGCCAGGGUAUAUGACCAUUACAUUCCUUUGUCAGCUGGGGAUACUCCUAUUAAUUUGAAGCCUUACAUAUAUUCUUCUUUUCAUAAAAAUGAAGUUGAGAGACAGGUGAAUGGGUUGCUCAAGGCUAGGUUUAUCACUAAUAGUGUUAGCCCUUUUGCUUCCCCUGUGUUGUUAGUAAAAAAGAAUGAUGAUUCUUGGAGGUUUUGUGUUGACUAUAGGAAGUUGAAUGAUCUGACAGUAAAUAAUAGAUUUCCGAUGCCUAUAGUUGAGGAGAUUCUGGAUGAAUUGACACGCACUCAGUUCUUUGCUAGUUUGGAUCUCUCCUUUGGGUAUCACCAAAUCAGAAUGAGGGAGUCAGAUGAGUACAAAACAACUUUUAAAACCCAUCAAGGCCAUUACCAGUUUAAGGUUAUGUCAUUUGGUCUUACCAAUGCACCUGUUACGUUUCAAUGUGUUAUGAAUUCAAUUUUAUCUCCUUCAGAAAUAUGUACUGGUAUUCAUAGAUGAUAUCUUGAUCUAUAGUGCCUCAUGGACUGACCAUUUACAACAUAUCAGAUUGGUUUUGGGGCAGUUGAGAGGACCAAGUGUGCUUUUGGUAAAAUUGAAUUAUUAUAUUUGGGUCACAUUAUUUCUCAGAAGGGUGUGGCUACAGACCCAUCUAAAACUGAAGCCACGAGUAAAAGGCCCACCCCUACUAGUGUGACUGAGUUGAGAGGGUUUUUGGGGCUUACUGGAUAUCAUAGGAGGUUUGUGAAGCAUUAUGGGUUGAUUGCUAAACCUCUCACUAAUUUGUAGAAGCAUAAGGCAUUUCAAUGGAGUUCAGAGGCUGAAGCAGCUUUUCAGAAGUUGAAAUAGGCUAUGAUGUCUGCACCUGUGCCGGCAUUGCCUAACUUUGAUGAGGUGUUUGUGGUAGAAACUGAUGCUUGUGCAGAUGGAAUUGGUGUUGUUCUAAUACAGAAAAACAAACAUAUUGCUUACUUGAGCAAAGCUUUGAGUGUCAAGAACAGGUUGUUGUCUAUAUGACAAAGAAUUUUUAGCACUACUCAUGGCGUAGAGAGAUGGAGACAGUACCUUCAAAGGCCUGAAUUUGUUAUUAGAACAGACCACAAAGCUUUGAGUUUCUUGGAUGAUCAGGUAUUGCAAUCAGAUUUGCAAAAGAAGGCAAUGACGAAUUGAUGGGGUUGCAAUGCAAAAUUAUCUAUAAAAAGGGGAAAGAAAAUGUGGUUGCAGAUGCAUUGUCUAGAGUGGGACAUAUGAUGGCUUUGCAAACUUUGGAUGAGGUGGAGCCUUUGUAGGUGUAAGAAGUGAUUAAUUCUUAUGUCACUGAUGAGGAGGCACAAGAGUUGUUGGCUCAACUAGUUUUGCAUAGUCCUAAUGAACAUGGCUUUUCUGUACACCAGGGAGUUAUCAGAAAAGGCUCUCAAAUUUGGAUAGCACAAAACUCUGCUCUUAGAACUAAAAUCAUUUAUGCUCUACAUGAUAGUGUGAUUGGAGGACAUUCUAGGAGUAUGGCAACCUAUCAUAGAGUGAAGAAGUUGUUCUGGUGGAAGAGUUUAAAGAAUGAUGUGGUUGUGUUUGUCCAACAAUGUGAAGUAUGUCAACAUGCUAAAGCAGAAAGAGUGGUUUCUCCAGGGUUAUUGUAGCCUUCGUCAGUUUCUCAAGGUGCCUGGCAAGACUUAACCAUGGAUUUUGUAGAGGGUCUUCCCAAAUCAGAAGGUUACAACACUAUUUUGGUGGUGGUGGAUAGGUAUUCCAAGUAUGCCCACUUCUUUCCUUUGAGACGCCCAUUUUCAGAUGCUACUGUGGCCCAAUUUUUUCUGGAUAAUGUGGUGAAAUUGCCUGGCAAUCCUAAGACUUUAGUGUCUGACAGAGACAAAAUUUACUAGUCAUUUUUGGAAAGCUUUAUUUCAGUCUUUGAAUACCAAGUUGGCUUUAACAACUGCUUAUCACCCACAAUCAGAUGGGCAGUCUGAAAGGGUGAACCAAUGUGUGGAAAUGUAUUUGAGAUGUGCCAUUCAAGACAACCCUGCUAAGUGGAAAAGAUGGUUACCUCUAUCAGAGUUUUGGUAUAAUACUUCCUAUCACACUUCCUUGGGUGUUCACCUUUUAAAGUGUUAUAUGGGUAUGAUCCAGUGUUUGUUACUGCUCCAAUUUGGUCUGAUAGUGAGGAUCAGACAAUGGAUGAUUUGUUAGCUAAAAGGCAACAAUGUUCUGAAGUGUUAAUAUCAAGGAUAGUUGCAGCUCAAAAUAGAAUGAAGGUCAAAGCUGAUAAGAAAAGAUCAGAUAGAUAAUUUCAUGUGGGAGAAUUGGUUCUUCUCAAACUACAGCCUUAUGUUCAAAGUUCUGUGGUGAACAUACCUUGUCACAAGCUAGCUUAUAAGUAUUUUGGGCCCUUUAAGGUGUUGCAAAGAAUUGGAGCCGUUGCUUACAAGUUGCAGUUACCUGACAAUUCAUUGGUUCAUCCUAUUUUCCUUGUCUCACAGUUGAAGGCUUUACACCUAAUGCUACUCCAAUUUUUCAGAUCUGUCCUAGUUAGUGGACUUUUCACAAGUGGAUGUGAAACCAGUCCAGAUUGUGGAUAGAAGACUGGUAAGGAAAGGCAGUCAUCCUGUGGUUCAAGUUUGUAUUGUUUGGUCCCAUUUACCCGCUGAUGCUUCUAUUUGGGAGGAUUAUGAGGUGAUUAAGAAGUGUUUUCCAUCUGCUAUUGAUUGGGGACAGUCAAUUUCUAGCAAAGAGGUGAUGUCAGUACGUGGAAGGUGCUCAGGUAUAAGUGAGCAGUGAUUCAGUAUUAAGAAUUGAGUAAUAGUUGGGCUUGAUUAGGUGGUUGUUGCUUGGGCCCUAAUGGACUUGUAAUUAAUCUAUAAAUACCUGAUCCAGCGGUAUUAUAAGGGAUCUAUGAAAAUGAAAUAACAGAAAGGUACCUGAACCACAUACCUUGCUUUCCUGGAAACUUACCAAGGUUCUACCACCAGGAAGUUUGCUUCCACAAGAUAUGUUGCUACCCACGGUGUUGGCGGCGCUCCAUCACCAAAGGAUUGUGACAUGUGGUUAUGCUAGGGCCACAGGGAAAGCGAUGAUCAGCCUACGACAGACUUAGGUAGUUAGGUCUCGUCGUUCUAUUUCUUAUUCUUUCCCCCCCACACAAGGAUGCACGCGAUAGAGACGUGCUUAGGAGAGUGGCACGACUAGAGCGAGCACGGCAGCUAGCAGGUACGGCUGGACCCGGACGCGGCCGCCGGCGCCCGCGCGCCGCCCGGCCUCCACGGCCCGCACCGCCUCCUGCCGCAGCUCCGGCGGCAGCUGCAGGCAGACCCAGUCCAUGAGCGCGUCCACGUCCUUGGCGAAGUCCAGCAGCGAGCAGUCUGCUUUCGUUGAGCUGAUGGCGGAAGAUAGCGGAGGCUGGGCAUGCUCCCCAAGGACAAGGAGAUCAAAUCAUGGGAGGCUUCGGCAGGCAUGCAAGCUGAUACACUGUAAGUACAACUCUCAAACUGGUAUUUCCUUUGAUUUGGCGGAUUCAUCUUCGAGUUUUGGUGUCCCCUCGGGUGAGCAUGGAGCCUAUGGUUCUUCCAGCGAAUCCGCUUCUUCUUCGGAUGAACCUACUGGUGCUCAUACUCAGAUUGAGGGGGGAGUUAAUUGUGAUAAUCGGAUGUUGGAACAAACAUCUUUGGUAGGGGGCGAUACUCUGAUUCCCCACAAUACAGACUCCGGUGUUUUAGCUGAACAAAUUGUUCUUACAGCAAAACACUUUGGAUCCCCUGAAGAAGACGACAAGGUGUUCACGAAAAUUGAAUCAAAUCGAAAUGUGAGGCUGCGGCGGGGUCCUAAGGCUCGGAUAAUGGCCUCAGGUAAACCUUUGCCACGCAAAGCUUGCAUUAUCAGGCCAUGGCGCGGACCGCUGCCGCGGCCGCGAUCGGCGGCGAGACUGACGCUUGAGGCUUUCUUGACAGCGCACCCAUUCUGGACCCACAAAUCAGUGUCUUCAGGUGGUAACGAGAUAAUUUCGGGAGUUAAUGCUGGGGGGCUGUCGUCUCCCGAAGAGUCGCGUGCGAUCCUCCCAAGGACGACUUGCACUUCUUCCAGUUCGUGUGGCUGGGACAGCAAGGUUGGGAGAGGUCCUCAAGUUAACUCAUCGGACUCCGUUUUAGCCGACCUAAUCAAGAGGGCCAAGGCUUUUGGAAAACCACGCUCCUGCUUGUUCCGGCUUCAUCAAGGCAAGGUCCCUAGGCCCGUGGCGGUGGAUUUAAAAGGCGCCAUCCUCUCAUCGCAUUCACCAUCCUAUGCUGAGAUGGCUGCCCGUCCGCCUGCUCCAGCCAGCAGGUCGAGUGAAGCUGCUCAUCGCCCAUUCGCCCCAAACAGUAGACUCCCAGGGAUGGCGGUAUCCAGACAGAGUGAUGGGUGGCAUGGGCGCACCUCCCCACGUCAAGGACGUGGAUUUGGAGUGCAGCCGCAGCGCCAUGGUCCGGGGCACGGAGGUCCCCUGGGCCGGGGCAGUCUUGGUCGUGGAGCAGCAGGCCGGGGUGGACGAUUUCCACCACAGCCGCGGUUCCAACAGUACGGGGAGGUGCCCGCGGCAAGCCAGGAGACGAUGCCUCAGGCGGCCACUGCUGAUGGUAUGUCUUGGAUGCCAAGGGAUGCUGAGCGCAGGCAGUCGACAGCGGCUCCCCCAGGUAACUCUGUGAAAGCAAAGAAACUAAAGUCUCCUCUGUGCUUCCGUUGCAAGUUGAGUGGCCAUUUAAAUGAUGAGUGCAAGGCAGAUUUAGAUUGUGUGGUGUGUAACAAGAAGAAUUCACAUGUGGUAGCCAAGUGCCCCCUACUGAAAUUGCCUAAGCCCGAUGCCUCCUUCUUUGGCUUUGGUAAUAACGAGUUAGGCUUCUUUCGCAUUCCGGAUUUCGACUACAGGCUAGAAACACCUGACCCUGCCCCGACUGCUCUGAUCAAAGUGAGUGGGGGGAAGCUCUCGGCUGAGGCGGUGCAAGCUGAACUAGCUCGAUUCAUUACAAAAGAAUGGGUUUGGGAGGCGCUACCCCAUAGUGAUGAUUCCUUCUUGGUGGUAUUUCCCUCAGUUGAUGAACUAAUUAGGAUGGCUGAUGUGGAGUUCACUCUCAAAAAUCAUGGAGUUACUCUCACCAUCUCUGAAUGGAAGGAUGCUAGUGAUGUUGAACCCAGUUAUCAAUUGGACGAGGUUUGGGUUCAUGUGAGGGGAGUACCUCACGCUUGGAGGCAUUAUUUGGGUUUUUGGGCCCUAGGAUCGGUAAUCGGCGCCACUCUUGAUGUAGACAUGUACACCUAUAGAAAGAUGGGCGUCAUCAGACUGCUUGUUGGUGUGAUGAGCAGAGAUCCACUACCCCUGACCACCGAUAUUGUUUUUGACAAGAAGGGAUACGAGAUCACCUAUUCUAUAGAGGAUAAGAACUUCAUUCCUGCAUCUCCGGUGAUUUUUAGGGAGGAGUCUCGUAAUGAUGGUGGGGGUGGUAUGGACAAGGUUUCUGAACAAGAGGAUAAAAGUCCAGAACAUGCUUUCAAAAAGCAUAAAUUAGAUGGGAAGGGGGGUGGUGCUGGUUCUAUGGCAGGGGGUUUUGGUGAUGGAGAAGAUUCUCCAAUGCUUGGGGCUGCUGCCAUUUCACCCUUGGAGAAGGCUAAUGAACCUGUGCCUGCUGUGAUGAAGGGUUUUCCUUUGCUCAACUUGUCUGCCCUGCAUUCUGUACGUCCCUCUUUGAAUGGCCGAACUGGGGCAGAUCUGAAGCUGCAUAAGAAUGGAAUGUCAUCUGCUGCUGGGUUUCUUUCUGGUGGCAAAAGGAGCUCUGUUGUUGGGUCAUAUGAUACUAAUGGCUGCAACUUAAUGCUACAGAGUAUUCUUGAUGAGCAGAUAGUGAGUAACAUGAAAGGGGCUGACCCGACUGGUGUGAUUAACUCUGUACACACGACCAGGAUUGUGCCUGACGCAAGCAGCUGGUCCAAGGUACAUGCUUUCCUCCCUCCCUCGCUUGAAUUUGGUCCUACUAUGCGUACUGAAUUUUAUCAGCAGGCUGCACGACAGAAGCAUAGAAUGCAGAAUAUUUACUCACAACUUUCUGCUGGAGUAUUUUCUUGUGGCAAAAGGAAUAUUGUUGUUGGGUCAGAUAGCACUAAUGGCUGCAACUUUUUGCUACAGAAUAUUCCUGAUGAGCAGUUAGUAAGUAACAAGAAGGGGGUUGGUCCGUCUGUUGUGCUUACUUCGGCACACACGGCCAUGAAUAUGCCAGCGGCAUGUUGCUGGUCCAUGGUACAUGUUUGUCCCCCUCCCAUUCUUGAAAUUUAUCCUCCUCCUAUGCAGACUGAAUAUUCUUUGCAGCCUGCAUUCCAGGGACAGAGGAGUUUUGCAUUUGAAAGGGAGGGCCAGCCGAUGGAUGAUGUAAGGAAGAUUGAACGCAGUUUGCAUAUUGGGGCGGGGCAAGUAAAAUUGCCCAUCCCACCGGAGAAGAAACUGAUGCCUCCGGGGAAAGGUUCGAAUUUUUUUCCAUUAUACAAAAACAAUUCAGACUCACCUGCUUUUGUUCGUAGAAGUGCACGCUUUAUUGCCUUAUCUAAAGAUGGAUCUACUCAUGUAGAUGAGGAUUCUACUUUGAAGGCUAUGAAGAGGGCUUCUCGUCGCAAUCUUGAUGGCGAUUUGAGUGGAUUCAAGCCGGCUGGUCAAGCGCUACGCACGGUGUCCACUUCAUCUCUUCCGAUUGGGCCGUUUCAGUCAGGUAUGGAGCAAGCUUCGGCUGUCACUGCUAUCAAUGAUCUGUCAAAUCUUUCUUGUGCCAGUAAGCUAAAAAAGAUAGGAUUCAUGUUGGGCGAUGAUGAGUCUGCAGUUAAUAGAUCGAUCAAUGGUUUAAAAAAAAUGGAAUUGGAUAGGAAGGCUACUAAUUCACACACUACUCUUGAAUCACCCAGCUUGGAAGAGAGCAAUACAGGUAACUCUUGCUCGGUGAGUGAUGAGGAGGUUGAUGAAAUAAACAAUGACCUCUUAACUCACCUACUAAAGGAUGUAGCUGAUGCGAACUUUGACGAUGUAGACCUGGACACAAAAAUUUGUGAUCUUAUGGCAUCUGCAAGACAGUCAAAAAAGCGCCCUAAAAAUCAUAAAAGCCAAUAUGGUGGGGGGAUGUCGAAACAAAAAAUGAAUGGUUCCUAAUGAAGGGCUUUUUCUGGAAUAGCAGAGGUCUUUCAGACUUGGCUAAAUAUCGUUACAUUUCGGAGGCUGUGAGGGACCACAACCUAGACUUCUUAGCGAUAAUGGAAACCGGAAAGCAGGAUAUGUCCACUGCAAAUUUGGCGCGUCUGUCUGGUGGAGUAGAUUUUAUCUGGCACUGUCUUCCACCGAGGGGCAGAUCUGGUGGCAUCCUUCUGGGAGUUAGAGCGGAUGCUUUUGAUGUAACCCUUAUCGCUGAAGGAAAAUUUUACAUUAAAUUCCAUCUGUGCAAUAGAACAGAUAACUUCAAAUGGAUUUUGAUGGUUGCGUAUGGCCCAGCUCAAGAAGAAUUCAAAUCAGCUUUUCUAACGGAGCUUGUUCGGGCUUGCCAUCAGAUUUCUCUUCCGUUCCUCAUUGGGGGGGAUUUUAAUAUAAUGAGAAGCAGUAAGGAGAAAAACAAUGACAGGUUUAAUGGUCGCUGGCCUUUUCUCUUCAAUGUUGUGAUAGAUAGCUUGGAUUUAAGAGAAAUAGACCUAACAGGUAGACAAUAUACCUGGGCAAAUUCCCUCCCCAUACCUACUUAUGAAAAGCUCGAUAGAGCACUCAUGUCUACAGAAUGGGAAUUUAAGUUUCCUUUGGUAACACUCCAAGCCUUAGAUAGAGGCGUAUCCGACCAUACCCCCUUGCUUCUUAACACUGGCUAUCCUGCCUUCGUUGGAAGUAAGAAGAAAUUCAAGUUUGAACUGAAUUGGCUACAAAGGGAAGGUUUUCAGGACCAUAUCAAGGAAAUUUGGGCUAAUUCAUGUAAGGGUCGUAACUCGGUGCAAAGAUGGAAUAAUAAGCUGAGCGCAUUACGGCGGUUCCUCCGAGGUUGGGCGGCCCAAACAAAUGGGGAUUAUAAGAAAAGGAAAUCAGACCUCCAAAAUAUUAUCUGCACGUUGGAUACUGAAGCUGAAACAAGAGAUCUGAAUGAGUCUGAGCUUGUCUGCUUGACUCACUCACGUGACCAGUUGACCAAACUUCUCAGGGAGGAAGAGAUCAAGUAUUUUCAACGGGCAAAAACAAAGGAUGUUCUCCUAGGAGAUAACAACACAAAAUACUUUCAUAUGAUUGCCAAUGGGAAACACAGAAAAAAGAGAAUCUUCUCGCUUGAGAAUGGCAAUUCUAAAGUAGAAGGUCACGACAAUCUUAAAAAGUUUAUCACUGAGUUUUACAAAGGUUUAUUUGGUGAGCCGGAGGAAAACUCCUUCACUUUAGAUGAAUCCUUUAAUCAAGAUAUCCCACAGGUCUCUUGUCAGGAAAAUAGCUUACUCACGGCAAAUUUUUCGGAAACUGAAAUAAAGGAGGCCAUCUUUUCAAUGAAUCACAAUAAGGCUCCAGGUCCGGAUGGUUUUCCAGUUGAAUUUUAUCAACAAUUUUGGGAGACCAUCAAGGACGACCUAGUGCAAAUGUUUAAGGAUUUAUCAAAGGGAGACCUCCCUCUAUUUAGCCUUAAUUUUGGAGUGAUCACCCUCAUUCCUAAGGUGCAAGAGGCAAAUAUUAUUCAGCAAUAUAGGCCAAUCUGUCUUCUGAAUGUGAGCUAUAAAAUAUUCACCAAGGUGACCACUAAUAGGCUGGGUUCAGUAGCAGAUAAGGUUGUUAGCCCGACGCAGACGGCCUUUAUCAAAGGUCGUAAUAUCCUGGAAGGGGUGGUAAUUCUACAUGAAACAAUACACGAACUCCAUCGGAAAAAACUCAGUGGUGUAAUCCUUAAGCUUGACUUUGAGAAAGCCUAUGAUAAGGUGAGGUGGCCUUUUUUAUAUCAAACUCUCAGGAUGAAGGGUUUCUCGUCCAAAUGGAUAUCUUGGAUUAAGACCUUCAUUUCGGGAGGAAGUGUAGCGGUGAAUGUUAAUGACGAUAUCGGAGAUUUCUUUCAAACAAAAAAAGGACUCCGACAAGGGGAUCCUUUAUCUCCCCUCUUGUUCAAUAUUAUGGAAGACAUGCUACAAGUGUUCAUUAGUAGGGCCAAAACGGAUGAGCAGGUUGUGGGAAUGAUCCCUCACCUUGUUGAUGGCGGGCUCUCAAUUCUCCAAUACGCAGAUGAUACUAUACUCUUUAUGGAUCAUGAUCCGGACAAAGCGUGCAAUAUGAAGCUUCUUCUAUUUGCAUUUGAACAAGCUUCAGGCCUAAAGAUCAACUUCCAUAAGAGUGAAGUGUUUUGUUUUGGGGCUGCCCAGGAGAAUUUAGAACUUUAUACAGAACUCUUUGGAUGUAAACCGGGUAACCUCCCCAUCAAUUACCUUGGUAUUCCAAUCCACUUCCGAAAGCUAAAAAAUAGAGACUGGGCUAAAGUCGAAGAGCGCUUUGAGAAGAGACUUAGCAGUUGGAAAGGGAAGCACUUGUCUAUCGGAGGACGCCUGACUUUGAUUAAGUCAGUGCUUAGUAGCCUACCGAUGUAUAUGAUGUCCUUCUUCUCCCUACCUAAAGGGGUCCUUAAGAAGUUAGACUAUUUUCGAUCGAGAUUCUUUUGGCAGGGGAAUGAAAACAAAAGGAAAUAUAGACUUGCUAAAUGGAACAUUCUAUGUCAACCUCAGGAUCAAGGGGGCCUUGGUAUCUUGGAUCUAAAUAUGAUGAAUACAGCCCUUCUCAGUAAAUGGUUGUACAAGCUACUCACCUCAGAUGGAAUGUGGCAACAAUUACUGCGUAAUAAAUAUGUUGGCUCAAAACCUUUGUCUCAUGUGCAGUGGAAACUUGGUGACUCCCAUUUUUGGUCAGGCUUAAUGAAAGUAAAGCUAACCUUCCUCCGUUUUGGCUCAUUCCUCAUAAAGGAUGGCUCUCAAGUGAGGUUCUGGGAGGAUGCCUGGUUGGAUGGGUCCUCUUUAAAAGACCAAUAUCCAGCCCUGUAUAACAUUGCGAGGAAAAAAUUCAUUUCAAUAUCAGAAGCCUUGAGCGUUUCGCCUCCGAACUUUUCCUGGCGGAGACAGUUAUUUGGAGCCAAUUUGAUCGAUUGGCUUUCUCUUUUGUCACGCAUACAAGGUGUGGAGCUGUCCCACGAACAGGACACCUUCCGCUGGACCCUUUCCAUGAAUGGUAGAUUCUCGGUUAAAUCGCACUACGCUGCUUUGAUGCUCAGAAAUAUCCCUAAUGUUAAUAAAGAGCUUUGGAAGCUAAAGGCCCCCCUGAAAUUUAAAAUUUUUCUAUGGUAUUUACGUAAGGGCGUAAUUCUCACAAAAGACAAUUUGGCUAAACGAAACUGGCAAGGUAGUUUGUCAUGCGCCUCUUGUCACAAGGAAGAGACCAUUCAACACCUCUUCUUUGAUUGUCGGUUUGCUCGAUCAGUCUGGAGCGUGUUUCUGAUGGCCACCGGAAUCAACCAACCACAAAAUGUAGACCAUAUGUUUGGGGAUUGGCUUCAAGGUUUUAAUAGUGUGCUGAAACCAUUGCUUCUACUUGGAGCGGCCGUGCUGUGCUGGGCGCUCUGGAUCUGUAGAAAUGACUUAGUUUUUGAGAAAAAAAUCUUGUGUUCUCCUUUGCAGGUUAUCCAUUUGGCGUCACAGAAGCUAUCAAGUUGGGCCAUCCUUCAGCGAGAGGAGCUGCGACCGUUGGUUGUGGAGGGUUCGCGACUCUUGGUGCGAACGGCCACGGUCUUUUUUUCCCGGGUGCAUGGGUGGCGAUCUAGUCUUCGGAUUGACUGUCGCUAGACUGGGAAAGUUGCUGCGUUUAUGUUUGUUUGUUUUUUUUUAGUUUGGCUAUGUGCAUUAGGCAGAGGCCGGAAGUUUGUGUACCAAGACUAUGUAUCCUCUUGAUGUAUCGCUCUUGGUAACCUUUAAUAUAAAGCUUCCUUUAUCGAAAAAACUAACUACGAUAGUUCCCAAAAAAGUUUCUAAAUUAAUUUUGGUGCUAUUAUCCAAAAAUCAUGCUCCAAAAGUGUCCUUAACAGAACAGACCCAAACUUGUUUUUCUUUCCUUUGGAACAGAGGAUUUUUUUCUUGUUUCCUAUGUUUUUUCUGUGAAAAUGAACUGACUCCUAUAAAAUCCUUGUAUGAUUUCUUUAAAAUUCUUGCAUUCCAAAGGAACCCUUAAAAAGAAGGUCCAAAAUUAUAAAGUUGAAUAUUCAAGGGUAAAAUCACAAUUGCACUUUCAUCCAAGGACAUAAAUACAAUAGCCCCUUCUUAUAUUGUCCUCCCCUUCGCUAAGCUCUAUCAAAUGCGUCUUUCUUGAUGAGAUUGGAUGUUGGAUUACGGCCGGAGCCAAACAUCUUCAGAGCUUUGGCUUAGAGCUUGCGCGUAACCUUCACAGGGUCUAGGGAGUGGUGUGUGUUUUUGUUUUGAGUAAGCCUGCUUAGGGCUUUGUACCUUGGUCCAUUUUGGACCUUUUUUCUUCUCUAAUUAAAAUGAUGUGCAGUUCUCCUACGCUUUCGAAAAAAAAAUAUUGUCCUCAUCAUCGUCUCUUUGGCCUUUCAGUUUAACGUUUGAAAAAUGCAUAAUUUACAUUACAUAGCAAACAAUUCAGCUUCGAGGAUGCCAAGACCUGCACUAUAAUUUUAUGCAGAUGCUUACAACGCUGACAUUCUCGUUCCCAAGUCGUUAAUUCAGACAAAAUCAUGCUCUGAGAAAUAAAAGUUUACCAAACAUCUAGAUAAACCCAGUGAAUUCGGUAUAUGGUCCUUCAAUUUCUACUGUCUUACACGAAUCAUGUUAUUUUCAAAAUAUCAAAUUGUGAAAAUUAUCAGUAUAUGUGCAAAUAUAGAAGGGGUACCGAACUAGUCAAAACUCUCUAGUUCCAAGUGUCUUCAGUUGUUGCAUUCUGUAUUGCCAGGAGGAAGACUUUUGCUAUCGACAAUAACUAGUCAAGUCAACAUGCUUGG